ACCUUACCUACCCUUGACAUGUCUGGAAAGCCGAAGAGAUUUGGCCGUGCUCGCAAGAGAACCGGAACACAGGUGCUGCAUGGCUGUCGUCAGCUCGUGUCGUGAGAUGUUGGGUUAAGUCCCGCAACGAGCGCAACCCUUGUCAUUAGUUGCUACGCAAGAGCACUCUAAUGAAACUGCCGGUGACAAACCGGAGGAAGGUGGGGAUGACGUCCAGUCCUCAUGGCCCUUAUGGGUAGGGCUUCACACGUCAUACAAUGGUCGGGACAGAGGGUCGCCAACCCGCGAGGGGGAGCCAAUCUCACAAACCCGAUCGUACUCCGGAUCGCAGUCUGCAACUCGACUGCGUGAAGUCGGAAUCACUAGUAAUCGCGGAUCA
Molecule: ribosomal RNA, 379 nt
Filed under: Alcaligenes faecalis
Lineage: Bacteria; Pseudomonadati; Pseudomonadota; Betaproteobacteria; Burkholderiales; Alcaligenaceae
Description: bacterial SSU rRNA
Rfam family: Bacterial small subunit ribosomal RNA
Source: RNAcentral